This 513-nucleotide ribosomal RNA is filed under the name uncultured bacterium. RNAcentral's name for it is "partial 16S ribosomal RNA". It matches the Rfam family "Bacterial small subunit ribosomal RNA", at positions 28 to 523 of the family's 1533-position model. The record is from RNAcentral.
GAUGAACGCUGGCGGCGUGCCUAAUACAUGCAAGUCGAGCGAACAGAUAAGGAGCUUGCUCCUUUGAAGUUAGCGGCGGACGGGUGAGUAACACGUGGGUAACCUACCUAUAAGACUGGGAUAACUUCGGGAAACCGGAGCUAAUACCGGAUAACAUUUAGAACCGCAUGGUUCUAAAGUGAAAGAUGGUUUUGCUAUCACUUAUAGAUGGACCCGCGCCGUAUUAGCUAGUUGGUAAGGUAACGGCUUACCAAGGCGACGAUACGUAGCCGACCUGAGAGAGUGAUCGGCCACACAGGAGCUGAGACACGAUCCAGGCUCCUACGGGAUGCAGCAGUAUGGAAUCGUCCGCAAUGGGCGAAAGCCUGACGGAGCAACGCCGCGUGAGUGAUGAAGGGUUUCGGCUCGUAAAACUCUGUUAUUAGGGAUGAACAAAUUUGUUAGUAACUGAACAAGUCUUGACGGUACCUAACCAGAAAGCCACGGCUAACUACGUGCCAGCAGCAGCCGCGG